RNAcentral lists this ribosomal RNA (262 nucleotides) under uncultured soil bacterium. Its description in RNAcentral is "partial 16S ribosomal RNA". It matches the Rfam family "Bacterial small subunit ribosomal RNA", at positions 26 to 282 of the family's 1533-position model. The record is from RNAcentral.
AGAAUCAACGCUGGCGGCGUGCCUAACACAUGCAAGUCGAACGAGAAAGUUCCCCGAAAGGGGAGCGAGUAAAGUGGCAGACGGGUGAGUAACACGUGAACAAUCUACCCUCGAGUGGGGAAUAACCCCGCGAAAGCGGGGCUAAUACCGCAUAAUACUUCUGGGACGCAUGUCCUGGAGAUCAAGGGCUUCGGUCGCUUGAGGAGGAGUUCGCGCCUGAUUAGCUAGUUGGUGAGGUAACGGCCCACCAAGGCAACGAUCA